GAAAAUUGCAAAAAGCUAAAGGUACAAGACUGUGUAUAGAAACGAUCAUAGACUUCAGUGGUAGCAGCUUGCUAGCCGUUCACGGGUGCAAAGUUCUGUAAACAUU
Sander lucioperca (pikeperch) is the source of this 106-nucleotide long non-coding RNA. RefSeq lists it as uncharacterized. The record is from RefSeq and is a predicted model, not a curated record. Lineage: Eukaryota; Metazoa; Chordata; Actinopteri; Perciformes; Percidae. The transcript has 3 exons.